Myotis lucifugus (little brown bat) is the source of this 3867-nucleotide long non-coding RNA. RefSeq lists it as uncharacterized. The record is from RefSeq and is a predicted model, not a curated record. Lineage: Eukaryota; Metazoa; Chordata; Mammalia; Chiroptera; Vespertilionidae. The transcript is spliced from 5 exons.
GAGCACUUCAAGCGGCCGGUCAGUCGGUCAGUCGGUCAGGUGGAUGAGAGCAAGACUGGGGGCCAGGCUGCAACCCAAGGAUGUGAACUGACAGUGGUGCUACCCUCCUUUCACUCCAUGUCCCGCCCUUCCCUGGGCAGGGUCGAGGCAACAGGUUGCGAAGAGGCCCUUACUUUGUGGUGGAACUGGCCAGGAAUCCAGGGAAGGGCUGGUUUCUGUUCACCCGCCAGGCCACGUCAACGCAAGGGGGAGCUUUCGCCUCAUGUUCUCACACUGCUCUGCCGGAGACUGGCUGAGAACUUGUGCAUCGGCAUCUCUGCCUGUGACAGGAAGUCACCCACCUGCAGGAAGAGGCUGGGGGCAGGAAAGAAAGAGGCUCUGCCCUCCGGAAAGCCCCUACCCUGGCUGCUGUCCCUCAGCCUGAGACAGGUUGCCUGGAGCUGGAUGGAUUCUGGAGGAGAGUAUGGCUUGUCACAAGCCCAGUGUGUGAGGCUGGGGGAGUGGGAAUCUCAGUGGCAGCCACUGCCCACCCUUCACCAUGCCGAGGUCCAGGCACCACUUGGGUGGGAAAAGGAGGUGGCAGAGUCCCAGGGCUCAGAUGCUGGGGAGACAGCUCCCUGAGCUGGGACGUCUGUCUCGGACUUCCCCUGCUGGCUAGCCCACCUCCCCAGCUCCUGGCUGCAGCCUCCUGAGCCACAGCCAUGGUGCUGACCAGCCCUGGGGGCAGCCUCUACCCUUGGCUCCCAGAACUCCAGGGACUCACCACAAAUAGACUUGUCUCCUCCUAAGUGUCUGUGAGCGAGCUUGCGCCAUAUUUAACACAUUGGGAAUGGGUUUGGGAUAUUACUGCGAUGUGUGGUGGUUGUGUUGGGGGUGGGAGGGAGGAGGUGGGUGGGAGCGAUUCAGGAGAGUGGUUGCUGUUAAUACUAUCCUGUUCUAUGUGUUGGGUGAUACGUGAAAUACUGUUCAUAGACCUGAUGAGUUGUGGGAUUAGAUGUCAUCUCUGGCUACGUGACACAGGCCGCACUUCUGUGUGGAGUGUGCUAGCUUGUGGGGUUGAGCCCUGGGCUCCCAGCAGCAGCAAGGUCCGCGCUGUGUGGCUGGCGGUGCCUCAGCUGCCCCCUGCAAGCGUGGGAGUGGUGGGCCCAAGUUGGGCCGUUGAGCAGACCAAAUAAAUUAAGCCGUUAACAUAACCGACGACGCUGAGAGUAAAAUGUGACUUGGGGUCUGGCUCAGGGAGAUACACGUCGGGGGUCUGCUGGCCUGUCUGCCAGGAAGUGCAAGGCCUCCCCUGCUCCCUUCCAGAGGAAAUGCUACUGGCCUGUCCAGGUCCGGGUCACGUGACUCCCCACAGCGGGGAGUUCUCACGCUCCCUAGUUCCCAUCCCCUCCCCUAAUGUAGACACCAACCUGCUCAUCCCACCGGAGGCAGCCCAGUCCUUAAAGCAGGUCUGACUCCCACCUACCAGCUGAGUCGCUCCUUCGGGGCCCUACACGCCCGCCUUCUGCGCCCACUCCUAAAGCCUGGCUGUCCCAGCGUCCUCUCCACAGGACCGGGUGCCCCUUGCUGAUAGAACUGUCCAGUGUCUGGCCAUGGGCAGAGAUCACGGGGUGUUCUAGAGGCUGAGAAACCAUUACUCCAAGUCCAACAGAAACUCCCAUUGGUAGCUGUUCCUGGGGCCCCAGGAGUCACCCCCACGGGGACGUUCUCAGCUCAGAGCGGUUCCUGGCAGCCUAAGGACUCAUCCCCCUCUGCACACCCAUCCCUCCUGUGGUUCCUACAGCACCACCUCCACUGCCGGUUCCCAGCCCCAGCCAAGGGCGGCCUGGACGUUGAACUACCUCCACCUCGGAAAGAAUGCCAGGGGGCAGAGGAUCUGCAGGGACCAGCCGCCCACUGAGAUGCCCGCACACUCAUCUUUACGGCAGCUUCACCCUGGAAGAUUCCUGGGGGUGACUGCGGUCACCAACCGUCCUACGGUGGCCACCUCCCAGGGACAGGCCCGGGCCACACAGGUGUUGACAAGAUACCAUGUUCUUCGGAGGCUUGUUAAGAAGUGGAGCUGACUAGGGGACGAGCAAUGGAUUUGGCCUCACUCACUGGUUUUGGCAUAAGGCAAGACAUGCGUGUAGAAACGCCCAGCAAACAGUUCGAUAUGGGACUAAUGGUGGACCAACUGGACAGAAAAUCAACCAUUUCUCAGCAGUCCCCGGACAGCCAUCCCCGCAGGGACGCAGCCUCUGCCUCACUUCCCCUCUGGCCCCAUGGGCUGCUGGUCAACCUCGGGGUCUACCAGAGACGAGGCGAACGCCGACUGCACGAUCUGAAACCCGAAGGACUCAAGGAGAGACAUGUUCUGCUGGGGAGAGAAAGGAAGAAGCUGUGUCAUCGAGCCCCAUUUGUGGCCAAGGAUCAGCAAGUGCCUUCAGCAGGAAGCGAAGCUUUUUAGCAUCAGGCCCACGUGGAGUGUCAGUGCCUCGAUGAUGUCCUUUCAUUCACGCAGACCGGCUGACAUGUUCUCAGGUUUCUUGGUGAUGCAGACAGUGACACCCAGUGGCCUUCAGGCGAACCCCAAGUGUGCAGCAGGAAUACCCAGCUGCUCAGCAGUCUCCCCCACCAGCGACCUCGGGGCACACAGAGACAGCACAGCACCCAGAGAUUCCAGCCAAGGGCUGCAGGGAUGUUUGCUUCGCUUCGUCCAAACCAGGGUGUCAGCGCGUCUUUCCUAACAGUUACAAAGUGUAAGAACGGGGCCUCCCACGUGUGCAGCACCUUGUGGGGUUCAGUUAACUUCCAUCUACUUUGUGUGCCGGGAUCCUCACAACACCCCUGUGAGGUAGACAAGGGGGGGGGUCCUUACCCCAUUUAAGAGAUGAAGAAACUGACGUUUAGAGGAGGGAAGAGGGGUGAGGUGGAAGCGGCUGGGAUUUAAACCCUAGGCCCCCCUGAUUCCUGGUUUAGUACUCAAUCCACUAAGCCACACCCAACACUUCCAGAAGCAUCGAGACAAGGGUGUCCCAGGAUACGGGACCUCCCAGCAGAGUCCACACCCGGCCAGAGCCAGCACACAGUGCAGAAGCAUCCUCACACCCACUACCGGCAGCUGCCCAACCUCCUCCAGCAGAGACGUGGCGCCAGCCUCCUCCACUGACACUGCGCGUGCAAAACACAAACCUCAGCCCUUCCAACCGCUGACAGACAAGCCCUGGCAGAAGCUCAGACCCAGGACAGGCCUGACUUCAUCAACACAACACCCGGGCCAGAGCCAGAGCCACCUCGGCCCACCUCAGCAGCAAGCGCGCUCCCCUGCUCAGAACACCUUCCACUCUCCUUUCUCGUCAAGGCCACAAUCUACCUGGGUUUGGGCUUUCUUCUGAUCAUCUGUGCUACAUACAGAGUUUCUUUUCUGAUCCUUAUCCAUCGCUAGACUCAACUUCCUCCUUCCCUGGCUGCUGAGUUCCACAUGCCAGGGAACCAGCCAGCCAGGCUCUCAAGCAGGAACCCUUUUUCUCCCCCCUGUGGGGUCUAGUGACUCUCUCACCAACAUCAAUACUUCCGUGGUCUCUCCAACUGCAUCCAUCCUGCCACCUGAGCAGCAGAUGUUCCGGGCCCAGCUUGGGAACAAUACCCUUCCUGUUCCCACUUGCUGAUCUCUUGGGAACUCCCAUUCCAAACAUCCUAAGCCUCUUGGGACGGAAGGGGUGGCACGCAGCUAGCUGGGCGAGGACCGUCUAUCACUCAGUGGGAAGGGCAGGCCGGCCGUGCGCAGGAUGGAGUCUGAGGCGGGGUGGUCCGGAGCCCCCAGCCGCCCACAUGAGCUCAGGCCCCGCCUCCGGAAGUGAGGGGACCGCAGGGAGAUUACCUCGG